Non-coding RNA from Schistosoma rodhaini, 45 nucleotides. NCBI's taxonomy places the organism in Eukaryota, Metazoa, Platyhelminthes, Trematoda, Strigeidida, Schistosomatidae. The record is from Rfam.
AUCCAGCUAGCUAGUCCCAAAUAGGACGAAAGGUACGUCCUGGAU